Molecule: ribosomal RNA, 1351 nt
Filed under: Anthracocystis enteromorpha
Lineage: Eukaryota; Fungi; Basidiomycota; Ustilaginomycetes; Ustilaginales; Ustilaginaceae
Description: eukaryotic LSU rRNA
Rfam family: Eukaryotic large subunit ribosomal RNA (bases 670-1351)
Source: RNAcentral
GAUGGAUCAUUUCAAUGAAAAAAAAACCUUUUUGGGUGUGGCUCGCACCUUCCAAAAAUGAGUUCUUUUUUAACACGGUUGCAUCGGUCGAGCCUGUCCAACACCGCGAAAGUGGAGUUGCGACGGUCUCGACAAUUUACACAAACACUUUUUUUCUGCUGGGAUUGGAAAGACAAUUUACGACUGGUAAUUCGGUCAAUUAAAUUAAAAAACAACUUUUGGCAACGGAUCUCUUGGUUCUCCCAUCGAUGAAGAACGCAGCGAAUUGCGAUAAGUAAUGUGAAUUGCAGAAGUGAAUCAUCGAAUCUUUGAACGCACCUUGCGCUCCCCAAGAUCUAAUCUGGGGAGCAUGCCUGUUUGAGGGCCGCGAAUUGUUUCGAACCGAGCAUUUUUGAAGUAAUUUAUUACGGAAAAAAUGUUCGGAUCGGUGUUGAGGUUUAUUUUGCCAUUCAUCGUGGCUGCCUCUAAAUACAUUAGCGCUACCAUUUGAUAGGCAAAAACGGACGAAAGCUCGAAUUUCUGCUUUCUCUUUCCUGCCGGGUUUUGAUAACAUCAGGACUUCGGAGGCGAGGAGAGGGCAAGAGCCGAGGACGUUUUUGCUGUUUGGCGUGCUUCUGAACCCAACCCAUGCCUCCGUUCGCGGAGGAAUGGAUUUUUUAAAUAAUUCAUCGGCCUCAGAUUGGUAGGACUACCCGCUGAACUUAAGCAUAUCAAUAAGCGGAGGAAAAGAAACUAACAAGGAUUCCCCUAGUAACGGCGAGUGAAGAGGGAAGAGCCCACGAUUGAAAGCUGGCGUCUUCGACGUCCGCAUUGUAAUCUCAAGAAGUGUUUUCCGCUUCGGACCAUGCCUAAGUCCCUUGGAAAAGGGCAUCAUAGAGGGUGAAAAUCCCGUACAUGGCAUGGAGAGUCCGAAGCUUUGUGAUACAUUUUCUCAGAGUCGAGUUGUUUGGGAAUGCAGCUCAAAAUGGGUGGUAAAUGCCAUCUAAGGCUAAAUAUUGGGGAGAGACCGAUAGCGAACAAGUACAGUGAUGGAAAGAUGAAAAGAACUUUGAAAAGAGAGUUAAAAAGUACGUGAAAUUGCCAAAAGGGAAGGGUAGGAGGUCAGAGAUGCGUCCUAGGAUUGAGCCUUGCUUUUGCUUGGUGUUUUUUCUAGGUCGCAGGCCAACGUCGGUUUUGGGCACUGGAGAAGGGUAGGAGGAACGUGGCACCCCUCGGGGUGUGUUAUAGCCUCCUACUGGAUACAGCGACCGAGACCGAGGACAGCAGCGUACUCGCAAGAGCGGGCCUUCGGGCACCUUUACGCUUAGGGCGUUGGCAUAAUGGCCCUCUACCACCCGUCUUGAAACACGGA